RNAcentral lists this ribosomal RNA (254 nucleotides) under uncultured bacterium. Its description in RNAcentral is "partial 16S ribosomal RNA". It matches the Rfam family "Bacterial small subunit ribosomal RNA", at positions 524 to 776 of the family's 1533-position model. The record is from RNAcentral.
UACGGGGGGAGCAAGCGUUGUUCGGAUUUACUGGGCGUAAAGGGCGCGUAGGCGGUCAGCACAAGUCAGUUGUGAAAUCUCCGGGCUUAACUCGGAAAGGUCAACUGAUACUGUGCGACUAGAGUGCGGAAGGGGCAACUGGAAUUCUCGGUGUAGCGGUGAAAUGCGUAGAUAUCGAGAGGAACACCUGCGGCGAAGGCGGGUUGCUGGGCCGACACUGACGCUGAGGCACGAAAGCGUGGGGAGCAAACAGG